This 301-nucleotide ribosomal RNA is filed under the name uncultured bacterium. RNAcentral describes it as "partial 16S ribosomal RNA". It matches the Rfam family "Bacterial small subunit ribosomal RNA", at positions 509 to 807 of the family's 1533-position model. The record is from RNAcentral.
CAGCAGCCGCGGGAAUACAGAGGGUGCGAGCGUUAAUCGGAUUUACUGGGCGUAAAGCGUGCGUAGGCGGCUAAUUGAGUCGGAUGUGAAAUCCCCGAGCUUAACUUGGGAAUUGCAUUCGAUACUGGUUAGCUAGAGUGUGGGAGAGGAUGGUAGAAUUCCAGGUGUAGCGGUGAAAUGCGUAGAGAUCUGGAGGAAUACCGAUGGCGAAGGCAGCCAUCUGGCCUAACACUGACGCUGAGGUACGAAAGCAUGGGGAGCAAACAGGAUUAGAGACCCCGGUAGUCCCUGUCUCUUAUAC